This 949-nucleotide small RNA is filed under the name Pongo abelii (Sumatran orangutan). RNAcentral's name for it is "retained intron". The record is from RNAcentral. Lineage: Eukaryota; Metazoa; Chordata; Mammalia; Primates; Hominidae.
UUUCUGCUUUUGAAUAUGCUAUAGAUUAAAAUAUUUUCUGAUCAUAACUGCAUAAAUGUUGACCUUUAAACAGUUUAUUCUAGUUCCAAUUCUGUGGGAAGUAUACAGGAUUUAAAUCUUUAAAAAAAUCACAGCAGUGUUUUCAGUUACUAAUAUAUAAUUAAGAUAAUUUCUUUUUUUUAAAAUUAUAGUUUGUUUUGUCAGUCAAAACCAAGGGAGAAGAUUGUUCCCAAGUGGCAUGAAAAGCCCUACGAGUGGAAUCAGGUUGAUCCAAAGCUGGUCAUGGAGCAGGCCGACCACGAGAGCAGCAGAGGGAAGAACACCUUUCUCUACCAGCUCCACAAACUGGUUGUGCUCGGCACCUGAGCGUGUCCACAGGUGGCCUCCAGCACACCCCUCAGGAAGCUGCAGAGGCUGGAUUCCAGGCUCCCUCUGCAGACUGACUUUCCUCUGUGUCUGGGCUUUACAGUCUGUGUCCACUGCAUCCUAAAGGCCUUUUCUUUCUUCUUUUCUCUUUGGGUGAUAGUCAGAGAGUGGUGUUUUUGUUCAGGUGGGAAGGAUUGGAAACUCUAGUGUUUUCUAGAAACAGAAAAUCACUGUAUUAAAUAUUUUGGAAAAAUUGUUCUGAAAGAAGACUGUUUGGAUAAAGAGCUGUAUUUUGCUUUAAAUUUAUUAAGGUAAAUAUAAGUAGUUAAUCUUAGAUGUAAGGUUCCAGAAUGUGCUUACAUAUUCUGUUCUGUUACAGUGAUUUAAACCAGUAGUAUAGGAAAAAACUUAAAAACGAAAAAACCAUGUAGUAUUUUCUGAUUUUUUUUUUUCCAUGAGGGAAAAUAUCUAAUUUUUGUAAGACUAAGUUGAGUUAUAGUUCUUGCUUCACAUUUUGGAAAUCAGAGAUUACAGAUUACAUGGCCAUAGCUUAUCUGUGUUAAAACAAUAAAAGCAUUAGAUG